GCCGCCAUAACUCAGUUGGUAGAGUGCAUGGCUGUUAACCAUGAUGUCACAGGUUCGAGCCCUGUUGGCGGCG
This 73-nucleotide transfer RNA is filed under the name archaeon. RNAcentral's name for it is "tRNA-Asn". It matches the Rfam family "tRNA". Rfam says of the family: Transfer RNA (tRNA) molecules are approximately 80 nucleotides in length. Their secondary structure includes four short double-helical elements and three loops (D, anti-codon, and T loops). The record is from RNAcentral. RNAcentral also lists the same sequence under 5 other names.